UACGUAGGUGGCAAGCGUUAUCCGGAUUUACUGGGUGUAAAGGGCGCGUAGGCGGGAGAACAAGUCAGAUGUGAAAUGCUGAGGCUUAACCUCAGAGCUGCAUUUGAAACUGUACUUCUUGAGUAUCGGAGAGGCAGGCGGAAUUCCUAGUGUAGCGGUGAAAUGCGUAGAUAUUAGGAGGAACACCAGUGGCGAAGGCGGCCUGCUGGACGACAACUGACGCUGAGGCGCGAAAGCGUGGGGAGCAAACAGG
RNAcentral lists this ribosomal RNA (253 nucleotides) under uncultured bacterium. Its description in RNAcentral is "partial 16S ribosomal RNA". It matches the Rfam family "Bacterial small subunit ribosomal RNA", at positions 524 to 776 of the family's 1533-position model. The record is from RNAcentral.